This 746-nucleotide long non-coding RNA is filed under the name Homo sapiens (human). RNAcentral's name for it is "HSALNT0266717". Lineage: Eukaryota; Metazoa; Chordata; Mammalia; Primates; Hominidae. The record is from RNAcentral.
GCCUGAAUGUUUGGAGAUAGACUUCAAGUCCCGGACCUUAUCCGUGCGCCGCUUCGGUUUGCAGGAGGGCGAUAGCACCGGCCUUACUGCGACGAUGACAAAGUACAACACACCGUCUGGCGCGAAGGAGAUGCUCGAGAACCCUUUGCUGUUGUUAUUUUUCGCGUGUCCUCCGAAACCAAGGGAAAUGCGGCUCUGUGGGUUCUGUUAACGUCAGCAUUUAAUAAGUGAACUCUAAAUGCAUUGCCCCUUAUGGUGGCCGCUGGCCUCCUGAGUUGACUCAGCUCUUGCAACGUAGCUAGUUGAUAACCCUCGAAAUAUAGCGAAUUGAGAUGUGCUAUAUUGUAAAAUACGGGACUUAGUACGAAAAAACUGAUGUAAAAAUUAUCUCAAUACUUUUUAAUACUGAUUACAUGUUGGAAUAUAAUGUUUUGCAUAUAUUGGGUCAAAUAAAAAUGUUAUUAAUUUCACCUGUGUUUUUACUUUUUAAAUGCAGCUUCUAAAAACAUUUAAAUUGCAUGUGCAGUUUACAUUAUAUUUCUGUUGAGCAGCCUUGGGUUAGAGUGUUGGAGUGAGGCUACCUUGGUGGAAUCCCCUUUGACGAUACCCAGCUCAGAGUUGUUAGGAGGAUUAAAUAAAUUAAGCCGUUGGAGAGAAAGGGCUUUUAAGAAGUUUGCUCUUGUUUUUAUUAGGUAAACUGCUUGCUAUCUCUGAGCUACUGUUUUCUUAUCAGUAAAAUGUGGAUG